RNAcentral lists this ribosomal RNA (200 nucleotides) under uncultured bacterium. Its description in RNAcentral is "partial 16S ribosomal RNA". It matches the Rfam family "Bacterial small subunit ribosomal RNA", at positions 326 to 537 of the family's 1533-position model. The record is from RNAcentral.
ACGCUCGACACCUACGGCAGGCAGCAGUGGGGAAUAUUGCACAAUGGGGGAAACCCUGAUGCAGCAACGCCGCGUGAAGGAAGACGGUUUUCGGAUUGUAAACUUCUGUUCUUAGUGAAGAUAGUGACGGUAGCUAAGGAGCAAGCCACGGCUAACUACGUGCUAGCAGCCGCGGUAAUCUGAGCGGGCGUGGCGAAGGC